This is a long non-coding RNA of Nerophis ophidion (straightnose pipefish), 436 nucleotides long. RefSeq lists it as uncharacterized. The record is from RefSeq and is a predicted model, not a curated record. The transcript is spliced from 3 exons. NCBI's taxonomy places the organism in Eukaryota, Metazoa, Chordata, Actinopteri, Syngnathiformes, Syngnathidae.
GUCAGGGCUGGAGGAUUAUCAAGUGCUGACAACCAUUACUGUUUGUGUUGUAUGUAAACUGCACAGUUAUUGGUUACAUUUGCUUGUGCUUGCACUUUCUUGAAGUCACGGUGCGUCAGUCAGUUUAUCAGCGGGGAGGACGCAGAGGAGUCUUCACGUUCCUUUGUGGAUAGACCCUGAGGUGGAAGUGGAGCGACUGGUUACCUGUAGGAUGACACAGAGGAGAUGAAUAGGCAUGUCCACUCAGCUGUCCCCACACUGAUUCAUCCUGACGUCCCAACCAGCUAAGCACAAACUCCCUAUGGUUAGUGCGCUCUGAUAUCUGCGCGUGAGUGUGUGUGUGUUCUUGUAUGAAAAUAGCCACUGCCGGUGAGUCGUGCAUGCACCAAAACCGUGGGUGUAAUUUCCUGCCAGGUACAUCAAAAUAGCAUCUGAA